GCCAGGCUUUGUGGUGCAUGCCUGUAAUUCCAGUUACUCUGGAGGCUGAGGCAGGAGGAUCACAAGUUUGAGGCUACCUGGGUAACUUAGCAAGACCCUGUCUCAA
RNAcentral lists this small RNA (106 nucleotides) under Marmota monax (woodchuck). Lineage: Eukaryota; Metazoa; Chordata; Mammalia; Rodentia; Sciuridae. The record is from RNAcentral.